RNAcentral lists this ribosomal RNA (484 nucleotides) under uncultured bacterium. Its description in RNAcentral is "partial 16S ribosomal RNA". It matches the Rfam family "Bacterial small subunit ribosomal RNA", at positions 30 to 507 of the family's 1533-position model. The record is from RNAcentral.
AUUGAACGCUGGCGGCAGGCCUAACACAUGCAAGUCGAGCGGAUGAAGGGAGCUUGCUCCUGGAUUCAGCGGCGGACGGGUGAGUAAUGCCUAGGAAUCUGCCUGGUAGUGGGGGAUAACGUCCGGAAACGGGCGCUAAUACCGCACACGACCUGAGGGAGAAAGUGGGGGAUCUUCGGACCUCAAGCUAUCAGAUGAGCCUAGGUCGGAUUAGCUAGUUGGUGGGGUAAAGGCCUACCAAGGCGACGAUCCGUAACUGGUCUGAGAGGAUGAUCAGUCACACUGGAACUGAGACACGGUCCAGACUCCUACGGGAGGCAGCAGUGGGGAAUAUUGGACAAUGGGCGAAAGCCUGAUCCAGCCAUGCCGCGUGUGUGAAGAAGUUCUUCGGAUUGUAAAGCACUUUAAGUGGGGAGGAAGGGCAGUAAGUUAAUACCUUGCUGUUUUGACGUUACCAACAGAAUAAGCACCGGCUAACUUCGUG